GAUGAACGCUGGCGGCGUGCCUAAUACAUGCAAGUCGAGCGAACAGAUGAGGAGCUUGCUCCUCUGACGUUAGCGGCGGACGGGUGAGUAACACGUGGAUAACCUACCUAUAAGACUGGGAUAACUACGGGAAACCGGAGCUAAUACCGGAUAAUAUAUUGAACCGCAUGGUUCAAUAGUGAAAGACGGUUUUGCUGUCACUUAUAGAUGGAUCCGCGCCGCAUUAGCUAGUUGGUAAGGUAACGGCUUACCAAGGCAACGUUGCGUAGCCGACCUGAGAGGGUGAUCGGCCACACUGGAACUGAGACACGGUCCAGACUCCUACGGGAGGCAGCAGUAGGGAAUCUUCCGCAAUGGGCGAAAGCCUGACGGAGCAACGCCGCGUGAGUGAUGAAGGUCUUCGGAUCGUAAAACUCUGUUAUUAGGGAAGAACAAAUGUGUAAGUAACUAUGCACGUCUUGACGGUACCUAAUCAGAAAGCCACGGCUAACUACGUG
RNAcentral lists this ribosomal RNA (497 nucleotides) under uncultured bacterium. RNAcentral's name for it is "partial 16S ribosomal RNA". It matches the Rfam family "Bacterial small subunit ribosomal RNA", at positions 28 to 507 of the family's 1533-position model. The record is from RNAcentral.